UAGGGAAUAUUGGACAAUGGGGGCAACCCUGAUCCAGCCAUGCCGCGUGAGUGAAGAAGGCCCUCGGGUUGUAAAGCUCUUUUGUCCGGAAAGAAAAGCUUCGGGUUAAUACCCCGGGGUUCUGACGGUACCGGAAGAAUAAGCACCGGCUAACUUCGUGCCAGCAGCCGCGGUAAUACGAAGGGUGCAAGCGUUACUCGGAAUUACUGGGCGUAAAGCGUGCGUAGGUGGUUGUUUAAGUCUGAUGUGAAAGCCCUGGGCUCAACCUGGGAAUGGCAUUGGAAACUGGGCAGCUAGAGUGCGGUAGAGGGUAGUGGAAUUCCCGGUGUAGCAGUGAAAUGCGUAGAGAUCGGGAGGAACAUCUGUGGCGAAGGCGACUGCCUGGACCAGCACUGACACUGAGGCACGGAAGCGUGGGGAGCAAACA
Molecule: ribosomal RNA, 427 nt
Filed under: uncultured bacterium
Lineage: Bacteria
Description: bacterial SSU rRNA
Rfam family: Bacterial small subunit ribosomal RNA
Source: RNAcentral